CAGGGAGAGUUCCGAAGGGUUUUUCCUUCCACACUCCGGCCCAGCCUUGCUGCUGAAUAUUCAUAAGAAGGCUGCACCGGGGUGCUCGCACAGUAUCCGACACCCCUACCCAAUGCUCAGAUGGAGCAAAUGAAGUUUCAAGGACCUGGUGAUCUUCCAGGCAUUUCUCCAUCCUGAAAACUUCGACAUGGGAACCGUCACUUGCUUACCUCAUGGAAUCCAAUCCAGCUGGCCACUUCAGGUUCAUAGGCAAUGACCCCAGAAGGGCGGGCUGAGGCACCUUGCUGUCAUGUGUUCCAAAUACUUUACUCAUUGUCUUCGCUCCUGCUGGAUGGGGUCCAAAACGAGCCUUGAAAGUAGUCUGCCUUUUCAGCGAUACACAGCAUACUACCCAGUGUAAGGGUUGAGCUUAAAUAAAUCUGUGCAGACCUAAGAACAAACCUGUGUAAGGCUCUCCUUCAAGAGCAGGAAUGAAAUAGGCUGCCUUCCCUAAAUUGGAUGCCACCCUGUGGUUCAGA
RNAcentral lists this small RNA (518 nucleotides) under Rattus norvegicus (Norway rat). RNAcentral's name for it is "uncharacterized LOC102553694". The record is from RNAcentral. Lineage: Eukaryota; Metazoa; Chordata; Mammalia; Rodentia; Muridae.